RNAcentral lists this ribosomal RNA (497 nucleotides) under uncultured bacterium. Its description in RNAcentral is "partial 16S ribosomal RNA". It matches the Rfam family "Bacterial small subunit ribosomal RNA", at positions 28 to 507 of the family's 1533-position model. The record is from RNAcentral.
GAUGAACGCUGGCGGCGUGCCUAAUACAUGCAAGUCGAGCGAACGGACGAGAAGCUUGCUUCUCUGAUGUUAGCGGCGGACGGGUGAGCAACACGUGGAUAACCUACCUAUAAGACUGGGAUAACUUCGGGAAACCGGAGCUAAUACCGGAUAAUAUUUUGAACCGCAUGGUUCAAAAGUGAAAGACGGUCUUGCUGUCACUUAUAGAUGGAUCCGCGCUGCAUUAGCUAGUUGGUAAGGUAACGGCUUACCAAGGCAACGAUGCAUAGCCGACCUGAGAGGGUGAUCGGCCACACUGGAACUGAGACACGGUCCAGACUCCUACGGGAGGCAGCAGUAGGGAAUCUUCCGCAAUGGGCGAAAGCCUGACGGAGCAGCGCCGCGUGAGUGAUGAAGGUCUUCGGAUCGUAAAACUCUGUUAUUAGGGAAGAACAUAUGUGUAAGUAACUGUGCACAUCUUGACGGUACCUAAUCAGAAAGCCACGGCUAACUACGUG